Molecule: ribosomal RNA, 429 nt
Filed under: Bacteroidota bacterium
Lineage: Bacteria; Pseudomonadati; Bacteroidota
Description: Bacteroidetes bacterium partial 16S ribosomal RNA
Rfam family: Bacterial small subunit ribosomal RNA
Source: RNAcentral
UAGGGAAUCUUCGGCAAUGGGGGGAACCCUGACCGAGCAACGCCGCGUGAGUGAAGAAGGUUUUCGGAUCGUAAAGCUCUGUUGUUAAGGAAGAACGAGUGUGAGAAUGGAAAGUUCAUACUGUGACGGUACUUAACCAGAAAGGGACGGCUAACUACGUGCCAGCAGCCGCGGUAAUACGUAGGUCCCGAGCGUUGUCCGGAUUUAUUGGGCGUAAAGCGAGCGCAGGCGGUUAGAUAAGUCUGAAGUUAAAGGCAGUGGCUCAACCAUUGUAGGCUUUGGAAACUGUUUAACUUGAGUGCAGAAGGGGAGAGUGGAAUUCCAUGUGUAGCGGUGAAAUGCGUAGAUAUAUGGAGGAACACCGGUGGCGAAAGCGGCUCUCUGGUUUGUAACUGACGCUGAGGCUCGAAAGCGUGGGGAGCGAACAGG